AUUGAACGCUGGCGGCAGGCCUAACACAUGCAAGUCGAACGAGUGGCGGACGGGUGAGUAAUGUCUGGGAAUCUGCCCGAUGGAGGGGGAUAACUACUGGAAACGGUAGCUAAUACCGCAUACCAUCGGAUGUACCCAUAUGGGAUUAGCUAGUAGGUGGGGUAACGGCUCACCUAGGCGACGAUCCCUAGCUGGUCUGAGAGGAUGAGCAGCCACACUGGGACUGAGACACGGUCCAGACUCCUACGGGAGGCAGCAGUGGGGAAUAUUGCACAAUGGGCGCAAGCCUGAUACAGCCAUGCCGCGUGUAUGAAGAAGGCCUUAGGGUUGUAAAGUACUUUCAGCGGGGAGGCGUUACCCGCAGAAGAAGCACCGGCUAACUCCGUGCCAGCAGCCGCGGUAAUUC
This 406-nucleotide ribosomal RNA is filed under the name uncultured bacterium. RNAcentral describes it as "partial 16S ribosomal RNA". It matches the Rfam family "Bacterial small subunit ribosomal RNA", at positions 30 to 526 of the family's 1533-position model. The record is from RNAcentral.